RNAcentral lists this unclassified non-coding RNA (203 nucleotides) under uncultured fungus. Its description in RNAcentral is "sequence contains ITS1". Lineage: Eukaryota; Fungi. The record is from RNAcentral.
UAUUAAGUUUCUGACCAUCAAAGGUCUCCCAAUAGACAUUCUAGACUUUUUAUAAGGGUGUAUAAAAGACAUAGACACAGACUGUAACAUCCGGCCUACAAUAAGUUCACAGGUGGAUUGAAAGGUGGAGUGCACAUGCCCCUAGAGGCCAGCAACAUCCUAAGGAUUCAAUAAUGAUCCUUCCGCAGGUUCACCUACGGAAA